AUUUGUGUGAGGAGUAGGUUUAAGUUUCUAAAUCAAAAGAAAAAGCUCUUGGGGUCGAAACACGGCAAGACUCCCAAGAGCUUUUUCUCAAU
This 92-nucleotide small RNA is filed under the name Kamptonema sp. PCC 6506. RNAcentral's name for it is "Oscillatoria sp. PCC 6506 Cyano-1 RNA". It matches the Rfam family "Cyano-1 RNA". Lineage: Bacteria; Bacillati; Cyanobacteriota; Cyanophyceae; Oscillatoriales; Microcoleaceae. The record is from Rfam by way of RNAcentral.